AAAUAGUGCUAUAGCUUCUGGGUUUAGGUAUAUUCUCCAGGAGAAUACAAGAAGCAUUUACUCUAGAAAGAAGAAUUCUUCAAAAAGUAGGAUUUCUGAAGUUAGUCAACAUAUGGGUAAACUCAGUUGCCUUAGUGACAAUGGCUUACCUGUACCCAUUUUCUCCUUCUCUUUUUCUCUCCUGUUGGUGGUGCUUUUAUAACUUUCUGAGAGCCAAUUAGGUGACACCAGAGAUGAACAUUCCCUGGUUUCUGUUGUCCUGCUUCAAAAAGACUAACCAGAAUCAGGGUUGGGGCUGAGGCUCAGGGGCAGAGCACUUGCCUAACAUGUAUGGGGCACUGGGUUUGAUCCUCAGCACCUCAUAAAAAUAAAAUAAGACUAACCAGAAUCAGAAAACCAGCCCCAGAUGUGUGCUUACAAAGCUGUUUUUUGGUUCAUCCUUGGAAGAUUAGGGCUCCUAAACCAAGCUGGUAAUCCAUUCCAAUCUACCAGAGGAGGAGGACAACUUAAUAUUGUGGAGCUAUGUUAGCAUAACUAGUAAAUCAACUAUAGGAUUAAUUCUGUUUCUAAGACUUUGGUGUUCUGCCUGAGAGCUAUGUUGAAUUUGGACGUGUUUUGGUGCCAUUACUUUGGGAACUAAUGCUUGGUCUCUUGAAACAUCUACUUUUGUGGCCUGAAGCUGUUCUGACUUUCCCUCCUGGUAUCAGCAUGGAAUUGGC
This 719-nucleotide long non-coding RNA is filed under the name Marmota monax (woodchuck). Lineage: Eukaryota; Metazoa; Chordata; Mammalia; Rodentia; Sciuridae. The record is from RNAcentral.